GGCAGGUGGCGGCUUGCCAAUACUGGCAAGUCGAGCGGACAGAAGGGAGCUUGCUCCCGGAUGUUAGCGGCGGACCGGAGAAUAGGGCGUGGGUAACCUGCCUGUAAGACUGGGAUAACUCCGGGAAACCGGAGCUAAUACCGGAUAGUUCCUUGAACCGCAUGGUUCAAGGAUGAAAGACGGUUUCGGCUGUCACUUACAGAUGGACCCGCGGCGCAUUAGCUAGUUGGUGAGGUAACGGCUCACCAAGGCGACGAUGCGUAGCCGACCUGAGAGGGUGAUCGGCCACACUGGGACUGAGACACGGCCCAGACUCCUACGGGAGGCAGCAGUAGGGAAUCUUCCCCAAUGGACGAAAGUCU
This 362-nucleotide ribosomal RNA is filed under the name Bacillus pumilus. Its description in RNAcentral is "bacterial SSU rRNA". It matches the Rfam family "Bacterial small subunit ribosomal RNA", at positions 35 to 384 of the family's 1533-position model. The record is from RNAcentral. Lineage: Bacteria; Bacillati; Bacillota; Bacilli; Caryophanales; Bacillaceae.